Long non-coding RNA from Hippopotamus amphibius kiboko, 451 nucleotides. RefSeq lists it as uncharacterized. The transcript is spliced from 4 exons. The record is from RefSeq and is a predicted model, not a curated record. NCBI's taxonomy places the organism in Eukaryota, Metazoa, Chordata, Mammalia, Artiodactyla, Hippopotamidae.
CGUCCCCUGCCCCGCCCCCGGAGCGCGGGCUUCGGGAGACGAGGAGCUGUGGGCGGCUGUGGCCGGCGGGGUGUGGCUGGGCGCUGCGGUCCGCGCGGGGCGGGGCGGGUGGCGGGAGCCGUCACAGGAAAUAAGUGACCAUGGUGCUCGAUAGUUUGGAUAAGAUGAUUCAACUGCAGAAAAGCACUGCAGACAUCAGGAAUAUCUGUGUUUUGGCUCAUGUUGACCACGUUGAAGUACGUGGACAGCAGAGAUGAUGAACAGAUCCGAGGGAGCACUGUGAAAUCCAGUGCCAUUUCACUACAUUGUGCAAAAGGUGAUCUGUUGUCAGACCAGAGUCAGGCUGUCCAGACGUGGGUACAGAUGGGGACCUCUGACUGGCUUGAGGGCAGAAGAACUGGCACUUCACAUCUGCCCCUAUCCACCCAAGGAAUUGCAUAGAUCUCUUCAC